RNAcentral lists this ribosomal RNA (1433 nucleotides) under metagenome. RNAcentral describes it as "bacterial SSU rRNA". It matches the Rfam family "Archaeal small subunit ribosomal RNA". The record is from RNAcentral.
GUUGAUCCUGCGGGAGGUUGCUGCUAUUAGGAUUCGACUAAGCCAUGCAAGUCAGAGGGUCUCUUCGGAGGCACAGGCGAAAUGCUCAGUAACACGUCGAUAAUCUCCCCUUAGGUCUGGAAUAACCUCGGAAAACUGAGGCUAAAACCGGAUAUUAGAAAAAAAUUGGAAUAUUUUUUCUUAAAAAAGUAAUGCCUAAGGAUGAGUUGGCGGCUGAUUAGGUUGUUGGCGGGGUAACGGCCCACCAAGCCGAAGAUCAGUAGGGGCCUUGAGAGAGGGAGCCCCGAGAAGGGCACUGAGAUACUGGCCCUAGCCCUACGGGGUGCAGCAGGCGCGAAACCUUUACAAUGCACGCAAGUGUGAUAAGGGGAUCCUAAGUGCUUAUGUUCUACAUAGGCUUUUGCUGAGAGUAAAUAUCUCGGAGAAUAAGUAGUGGGCAAGACUGGUGCCAGCCGCCGCGGUAACACCAGCGCUACAAGUGGCAACCGUAUUUAUUGGGCCUAAAGCGUCCGUAGCCGGUUUGAUAAAUCCCUUGUGAAAUUGUUGGGCUUAACCUAACAACGUGCAGGGGAGACUGUUAGACUAGGAACCGGGAGGAGUCAGAAGUAUGUCAGGGGGAACGGUAAAAUGUAAUAAUCCCUGAUAGACUACCAGUGGCGAAGGCGUCUGACCAGAACGGAUUCGACGGUGAGGGACGAAAGCUAGGGGAGCAAUCCGGAUUAGAUACCCGAGUAGUCCUAGCUGUAAACUCUGCGAGCUAGGUGUUGCACAUUUUUUAUGAAUGUGCAGUGUCGAAGCGAAGGCGUUUAGCUCGCCGCCUGGGAAGUAUGGUCGCAAGGCUGAAACUUAAAGGAAUUGGCGGGGGAGCACCACAAGGGGUGCGGCGUGCGGUUUAAUCUAAUUCAACACAGAGAAUCUCACCAGAGGCGACGGCAGGAUGAAAGUCGAGCUGAAGACUCUACUUGACGAGCCGAGAGGUAGUGCAUGGCCGCCGUCAGCUCGUGCCGUAAGGUGUCCUGUUAAGUCAGGCAACGAGCGAGACCUGUACUUACAAUUGCUAACAGAUUCUUUAGAAUGACUGAGCACUUUGUAAGGACUGCCUUCGAAAGGAGGAGGAAGGUGCAGGCUACGGUAGGUCUGUAUGCUCCGAAUCUUCUGGGCUACACGCGCGCAACAAUGGUAGAGACAAUGGGUCACAACUCCGAAAGGAGAAGUUAAUCCUCGAAACUCUAUCCAAGUUCAGAUUGAGGAUUGUAACUCAUCCUCAUGACGAUGGAAUCCCUAGUAAUCGGAUGUUAUCAGCAUCCGGUGAAUAUGUCCCUGCUCCUUGCACACACCGCCCGUCAAACCACCCGAGUAGUGUUUAGGUGAGGCUGAAUCCUUGAUUUAGUCGAACCUAAGCUCAGCGAGGAGGGUUAAGUCGUCACAAGGUA